UACGUAGGGGGCUAGCGUUGUUCGGAAUUACUGGGCGUAAAGCGCGCGUAGGCGGUUAGAUAAGUCCGGUGUGAAAGCCACAGGCUCAACCUGUGAAUGCCGCUGGAAACUGUCUGGCUUGAGUCCGGAAGGGGCGAGUGGAAUUCCUGGUGUAGCGGUGAAAUGCGCAGAUAUCAGGAGGAACACCAAUGGCGAAGGCAGCUCGCUGGAACGGUACUGACGCUGAGGAGCGAAAGCGUGGGGAGCGAACAGG
RNAcentral lists this ribosomal RNA (253 nucleotides) under uncultured bacterium. RNAcentral's name for it is "partial 16S ribosomal RNA". It matches the Rfam family "Bacterial small subunit ribosomal RNA", at positions 524 to 776 of the family's 1533-position model. The record is from RNAcentral.